AGAGAUUGAUGUUGUGAAUAUUUGAUCCACAAGUGGCGCGCUUACAUUCUCCAAAUGUAGAGAAUCAUCCAGAGAUGGAAAAUGAGGAAUCCAAGUCAAAAUAGGGCAAUCAUAACAGCGGAACUGGGAAAGACAUGGAAAUUGGAGUAGAUCAGUUGUUGAAUCAUCUCUUGUCUUCCGCCAUCCUUUUAGCUUAGGGCAUUGCUGUAGCUCGAGAGACUUGAGGGAUGGAAAGAAUGUAGUUCUUUCUACCUCAAUUUCCACAUACUCUAAAUUCCUGAAAUCCCGAAUCACCAAGCUUAGAAGAGAAGGGAUUUGAUGGAUUGGUGGGAGAUGCUGACAUUUGCU
RNAcentral lists this unclassified non-coding RNA (348 nucleotides) under Hevea brasiliensis (rubber tree). Lineage: Eukaryota; Viridiplantae; Streptophyta; Magnoliopsida; Malpighiales; Euphorbiaceae. The record is from RNAcentral.